UGAUUUUGAUCCUGGCUCGAUUGAACGCUGGUGGCAGGCCUAACACAUGCAAGUCGAGCGGAAACGAGUUAUCUGAACCUUCGGGGAACGGAAACGGCGUCGAGCGGCGGACGGGUGAGUAAUGCCUAGGAAAUUGCCCUGAUGUGGGGGAUAACCAUUGGAAACGAUGGCUAAUACCGCAUGAUGCCUACGGGCCAAAGAGGGGGACCUUCGGGCCUCUCGCGUCAGGAUAUGCCUAGGUGGGAUUAGCUAGUUGGUGAGGUAAGGGCUCACCAAGGCGACGAUCCCUAGCUGGUCUGAGAGGAUGAUCAGCCACACUGGAACUUAGACACGGUCCAGACUCCUACGGGAGGCAGCAGUGGGGAAUAUUGCACAAUGGGCGCAAGCCUGAUGCAGCCAUGCCGCGUGUAUGAAGAAGGCCUUCGGGUUGUAAAGUACUUUCAGUCGUGAGGAAGGUAGUGUAGUUAAUAGCUGCAUUAUUUGACGUUAGCGACAGAAGAAGCACCGGCUAACUCCGUGCCAGCAGCCGCGGUAAUACGGAGGGUGCGAGCGUUAAUCGGAAUUACUGGGCGUAAAGCGCCGCAGGUGGUUUGUUAAGUCAGAUGUGAAAGCCCGGGGCUCAACCUCGGAAUAGCAUUUGAAACUGGCAGACUAGAGUACUGUAGAGGGGGGUUUAAUUUCAGGUGUAGCGGUGAAAUGCGUAGAGAUCUGAAGGAAUACCGGUGGCGAAGGCGGCCUCC
This 740-nucleotide ribosomal RNA is filed under the name Vibrio parahaemolyticus. RNAcentral describes it as "bacterial SSU rRNA". It matches the Rfam family "Bacterial small subunit ribosomal RNA", at positions 1 to 729 of the family's 1533-position model. Lineage: Bacteria; Pseudomonadati; Pseudomonadota; Gammaproteobacteria; Vibrionales; Vibrionaceae. The record is from RNAcentral.